This 30-nucleotide non-coding RNA is filed under the name Mus musculus (house mouse). Lineage: Eukaryota; Metazoa; Chordata; Mammalia; Rodentia; Muridae. The record is from RNAcentral.
UAAGAGUUGAUGUGCUCAUGGUGUCUCUUC